CCCAGUCUUCCUUCACAAGUAGAGCCACUGUGUCAAAAUGACCGACCGCUCUUUCCCACCGAUCGAUCGAAUCCAUGCUGCCUAAAUCAGAAGAAGGAAACUGAACUGUCUUCUGAGAUUUUGCCCGCGGACCUGCCUAUAGCUGUAGUACCACACCAAUCCCCUGCUGAGGAAGUCAUUCGGGUAUGAUCUUCUCCUGAAUCUUAUAACACUAAUGAAAUAUACUAUGAUGAUUUGAACUGUCUUAUGAGAUUUUGCCCGCGGACCUGCCUACAGCUCUAGUACCACACCAAUCCCCUUCUAAGGAAGUCAUUCGGGUACAAUCUUCUCCUGAAUCUGUUAACACUAAUAAAAUAUACUAUGAUGAUUUGAACUG
This 376-nucleotide long non-coding RNA is filed under the name Prunus persica (peach). RNAcentral's name for it is "long non-coding RNA (PPER_LNC006784)". Lineage: Eukaryota; Viridiplantae; Streptophyta; Magnoliopsida; Rosales; Rosaceae. The record is from RNAcentral.